Molecule: ribosomal RNA, 403 nt
Filed under: uncultured microorganism
Description: bacterial SSU rRNA
Rfam family: Bacterial small subunit ribosomal RNA
Source: RNAcentral
GAGUUUGAUCGUGGCUCAGAUUGAACGCUGGCGGCAUGCCUUACACAUGCAAGUCGAACGGCAGCAUGAUCUAGCUUGCUAGAUUGAUGGCGAGUGGCGAACGGGUGAGUAAUACAUCGGAACGUGCCCUGUAGUGGGGGAUAACUAGUCGAAAGAUUAGCUAAUACCGCAUACGACCUGAGGGUGAAAGUGGGGGACCGCAAGGCCUCAUGCUAUAGGAGCGGCCGAUGUCUGAUUAGCUAGUUGGUGGGGUAAAGGCCCACCAAGGCGACGAUCAGUAGCUGGUCUGAGAGGACGAUCAGCCACACUGGGACUGAGACACGGCCCAGACUCCUACGGGAGGCAGCAGUGGGGAAUUUGGACAAAUGGGCGAAAGCCUGAUCCAGCAAAUGCCGCGUGUGUG